AACUAGGAUAAGACCCGCGCCUUGCGCAGGAUUAAGUUAUUAUUUUUAUUAUAUUUUGGAGAAUGAAACAAUAGUUUAGCUUCAUUUGGAUUACGGGUGUUCAAUCCGGAUAUCAGGUUGGUUUCGGUUCGGUUCGAUUUUUUUCGAUAUUUCGGUUAGUAAAAUAUAACUACUAUUCUAAAUCCAUAUUUACUUUGACUUUAGUCUUUCACAUACUUUGAAAGAUUUCAACUGGACGACUAAAUUGAUCAGCCAAUCUGGUUGCUUUAAAUCAUUAGUAUUUAUAUAUAUAUUAUUUAGUUUGAAUAUUUAUUAAAUAAAAAUUCAUAUGCGUUAUAUUUUAUGAUC
This 348-nucleotide long non-coding RNA is filed under the name Brassica napus (rape). Its description in RNAcentral is "long non-coding RNA (BNAP_LNC005066)". Lineage: Eukaryota; Viridiplantae; Streptophyta; Magnoliopsida; Brassicales; Brassicaceae. The record is from RNAcentral.